Molecule: microRNA, 24 nt
Filed under: Medicago truncatula (barrel medic)
Lineage: Eukaryota; Viridiplantae; Streptophyta; Magnoliopsida; Fabales; Fabaceae
Description: mtr-miR5208d
Source: miRBase by way of RNAcentral
CAUAUUAGUCAUAUUUGUAGGCAU